Molecule: ribosomal RNA, 265 nt
Filed under: uncultured bacterium
Lineage: Bacteria
Description: partial 16S ribosomal RNA
Rfam family: Bacterial small subunit ribosomal RNA
Source: RNAcentral
CCUACGGGGGGCAGCAGUGGGGAAUAUUGGGCAAUGGGCGCAAGCCUGACCCAGCAACGCCGCGUGAAGGAAGAAGGCUUUCGGGUUGUAAACUUCUUUUCUCAGGGACGAAUAGAUGACGGUACCUGAGGAAUAAGCCACGGCUAACUACGUGCCAGCAGCCGCGGUAAUACGUAGGUGGCAAGCGUUGUCCGGAAUUACUGGGUGUAAAGGGAGCGCAGGCGGGAAGCCAAGUCAGCUGUGAAAACUACGGGCUUAACUUGUA